UUCCUUCUGCACGCGCUUGAGCUCAUGCUGAUCACCGUCUUUAAAGGCCAGGGCGAGGCUCAUCCAUUGCACUCCAGGUGUGCUGACCCCUGCGAUUUCCCCAAAUGCGGGAAACUCGACUGCAUAAUUUGUGGUAGUGGGGGACUGCGUUCGCGCUCUCCCCUG
Molecule: small nuclear RNA, 165 nt
Organism: Erpetoichthys calabaricus (reedfish)
Lineage: Eukaryota; Metazoa; Chordata; Cladistia; Polypteriformes; Polypteridae
Gene: U1
Rfam family: U1 spliceosomal RNA
About the family: U1 is a small nuclear RNA (snRNA) component of the spliceosome (involved in pre-mRNA splicing). Its 5' end forms complementary base pairs with the 5' splice junction, thus defining the 5' donor site of an intron. There are significant differences in sequence and secondary structure between metazoan and yeast U1 snRNAs, the latter being much longer (568 nucleotides as compared to 164 nucleotides in human).
Source: Ensembl